CACAAGAACACAAGGAAUUGAAAAAAAUUAGAAAACAAAGGAUAUAACCUGAUUAAAUUGGAGCCAAAACUCUGGUACCAACUGAUGCGAACCCCGUAGCAAUGGAAACUACGAAACCCACAACGAGAUUGAUGCAGAACCCAAGAACGCCAAUACUAACCCGAUUUUGGAUCUUGAACCCCAAGAAUUGAACCAAGAAACCCUAGAUUAGCGAAGAACCUAAAACC
RNAcentral lists this long non-coding RNA (227 nucleotides) under Olea europaea (common olive). RNAcentral describes it as "long non-coding RNA (OEUR_LNC003567)". Lineage: Eukaryota; Viridiplantae; Streptophyta; Magnoliopsida; Lamiales; Oleaceae. The record is from RNAcentral.